RNA transcript from Papaver somniferum (opium poppy), 1187 nucleotides. RefSeq lists it as uncharacterized. The transcript is spliced from 3 exons. The record is from RefSeq and is a predicted model, not a curated record. NCBI's taxonomy places the organism in Eukaryota, Viridiplantae, Streptophyta, Magnoliopsida, Ranunculales, Papaveraceae.
CGAGGCAUGUAGAGGGGAUGAUUUUAACGGCAGUUUAACACCGUUUUUUUUUUAUCGGUGUUAUUUGGAAAAGCGUAUCGGUGACCCUCACGAGCAUUUUUUAACGGCAGUUUUGUCGGAAAAGAUUAUCGUGUUCCAAUCCAAACCUCCUUACUUCUGUUUCAGUUGACAGAUCCACACUCUCAGUUCUUCCUCUCCUACCCCAUUUAACUCUCUCCCUAGCGUAUCUGAAUCUGGUGCCCAAAUCAAUAUUCAUGGCGUCUUCCUCGGGUACUAAAAAGCCAAUGGGGCUCUUAGCGAAUGCCCUGAAACGAAAAGACAGCUUCAUCCAGUUCUUUGCAAUGGGUGGAAUCUUACUUUUGAGCAUGAGAUCUUUAGGUCAAAAAUACCGUCUCCAUGGCCUCCAAGAAGAUAACUAUGAUCUUAGGGAGGAGCACGAAAAACUCACUGAGAAAAUGAAGAAUAUUAAGCGUAGUCUUCUUGAUGAAGCAGCUCUUGAUUCUACUGGUGUACUAGCUUCCCGACUUCGAUUACUUUUCGGAAACGAUGACAAAUGAUUUCAGUUAUUUGGUCAUUUCAUUUGGGGAACGAACCUAAUGUUUCAUUAUAUUGACCGUGUAGGCGAGACAAUAGAGGUAUAUAGGAGGAGAGCUGAUUUCGGAAAUUGCUCGCAAGAGAAUCAAACAAACAAGAAUUUACUAAAAGAAGGCAGUAAUGAAUAGAUUAUUUAUGACAAAUUUUUACAUGUUUUCUCGAAUAGCAAAAUAUGGUGUGUGACAUAACAUGCCUCCUCUCUUCAAUUGUUCUUUGUACAAUAAUCUACAUCGUAGGAAAUAAAUAUAUAACUUAAAGUUGGUGAGUUCAUCUUAUAUGAAUUUGAAAGUCAUUCUCAGCAUUUGCUGCUCCAUGAUCUAUGCCUCAACUUAGGCUUUUGCUUAGCAGUUAAACAUCCGAAUGUUUAUUUCAUGCUCUCUGUAUGUAUUUCUGAUGAUCUCUGUAUGUCUUUGAAAUGGGGAGAGAAACAAACUCAAGAAAGUAAUCAAUCUAUUCCUUUGAGGUUAGCAUCAAAGGAAAAGAAUCAGGUUGUUAUUGUUAUCUCUAUAUCAGAAUUUCUCUUCAUUUAUACAUGAUAAGUAUUUAAGUCAGACUACGAAAUUCUCUGACCUCUAAUAUCUUUAUUUGAAUUA